Rattus norvegicus (Norway rat) is the source of this 682-nucleotide non-coding RNA. The record is from RefSeq and is a predicted model, not a curated record. NCBI's taxonomy places the organism in Eukaryota, Metazoa, Chordata, Mammalia, Rodentia, Muridae.
UCUCAGAUAUUCCUUCAGUACCUCCAGGGAUUACUAAUUAGCCUUAAUUCAAAGUAAACAGCCAUUCAUUUUUGAGGGAGAAAAAGAGAUGAAGAGCUCAGAGAUGGGAAGAAGGAAGCUGCCCUUCUGUCUUGGUAUAAAAAAGGAAGAAAUACGUGGUCCAUUGGAGAGUUCAGUUACUCCUGGGCAUAUUCAUGAAUAAAUUGGCCUGAGAACAAAGAGAACACACACAGAAGGACUGAGAGAGAUGGGCUGAACUGGAAGGACAGAGUCAGAAGGACCUGGCUGGAGAGCGGCUGAGCUGAAAAGUCUGGAUUGAGAGAAGGAGAACUGAGCUAAGUAGAACUGAGCCAACAAGAUCUGGGCUGAGAAGAAAUGUAGAGAUGAAUAACUUAUGUAACAUAAGAGAGCAAUGUGCAGAAUGCAGGGGAAAAGAGGAAAAAAGAAGAAGCUGGAAAGAACAGAAGGUGCAGAAAAUUUUCAUGACUUCAACACAAAAUGGCCAUUAGGAACAGAAGAAAACACAAAUAAGGAAAGGCGGAAAAUGAUUGACACAUGCACUGUUCUUGGUUUGAAAAAUAACAAUCAUGCGAGUUAUAGGAUAGAGCUUUGAAAGUGGAGUCAAUGAGAGGAUGAAAAAUACUGAGGAAGAGUAGGUGAAUUGAAUUCUUGCUACAUGAAA